AUCGGAAUGGGAAUGGGAAUGGAAAUGCGAAUCGAAAUCACAAUCAGAGUCAGAGUAAAAUACAAGGUAUCAGUGCCAUAUAUGAAAAGCAUACAGGAAUAACCCAAUAGCACACGUGCAAGAGGUGUUCACCAAUGUAAAUUCAAACAAAAGUGCUCAUCGUCGAUGGAAAACCGGGCCAAAACGAAACCAAACCAAACCAAGCCGAUUCGAGCCCAACGAGACCAGAAACGGAUGGCCAAUCGCAAUCCCCAGCUGUCCGUGGGAUAGCCAGGAUUAACAGUUCUGCGAAAUGAAAUGGAUAGGACGUAAAAACGUUAUGCCGGCCAAAAGGCACACAACAGUUUAAGCACUCGCAUUGCCAUUUUGCCAGUUCCCAUACUCUGCAGCUGGGCAUCCGCGAAUUUACUACUUUACUACGACUUUUCAAUGAAUCAACUAACAAAAGCGUUUAGCUCUAACAAUAAAGAAAUAUGCGUUUUCACCACCACGUUCGUAGC
Non-coding RNA from Drosophila melanogaster (fruit fly), 500 nucleotides. NCBI's taxonomy places the organism in Eukaryota, Metazoa, Arthropoda, Insecta, Diptera, Drosophilidae. The record is from Ensembl.